CUCAUUAAAUCAGUUAUAGUUUAUUUGAUGGUCUCUUUUGUCUUUUUUUACCUACUUGGAUAACCGUGGUAAUUCUAGAGCUAAUACAUGCGCAAGGUCCCGAGCGCGGGGGGUGGGGCUUCACGGCUCCAUUCUCGCAUGCGCAGAGGGAUGUAUUUAUUAGGUUAAAAACCAGCGGUAGGCCAGCAAUGGUCUAUCACAACACUCCUGGUGAUUCAUAGUAACUCUUUCGGAUCGCAUUCAUG
Molecule: ribosomal RNA, 245 nt
Filed under: uncultured Acanthamoeba
Lineage: Eukaryota; Discosea; Longamoebia; Acanthamoebidae
Description: partial 18S ribosomal RNA
Rfam family: Eukaryotic small subunit ribosomal RNA
Source: RNAcentral